Long non-coding RNA from Cercocebus atys (sooty mangabey), 352 nucleotides. NCBI's taxonomy places the organism in Eukaryota, Metazoa, Chordata, Mammalia, Primates, Cercopithecidae. The record is from Ensembl.
UUUUGAAGAAAGCUGGGGAGGACUGGGAGCUAAUUUUUCUCAUUAUUAACAGGACCUCUGAUCCCUGAAGGGAGGACCCAGAGUCACCAGCCUGCCAAGAAGCACCGAGCAUCUGCUCUGGAGAAGGGAAUUAGGAAGGAAACGUGUGAACCACGCAGCCAGACCGGUCUCCAGAUGGCGAGACCUCUGAGGAAUUCAUCUGUGGUCAAUAGCACUGGAAUCACCCAUGAGUCCAAGAUGGAAGGCUGAUGAAGAGAAGGAACAGGGAGAGGGAAUUAACUUUCCUGAGCUCAAAAUCUGCAUCACUGAGUGGCAGCUUCAAGGAUAGCCACAAGAAGAUCAUCCAACCUCC